UACUGAAAACAUGUAAAUGCUUUUGUACGUCAUUAUGUCAAACGCGGUUACAGUGAAUCACGAUUAAAGGAAAUAGCAAAUGAAAUAUCUAAGAUUUGCAAAGAUAGUCAAACCUACAUGCAUAAUUUUAGCAAACACAAUACAACAUAUGACAUAAUUCCUUUAGUGAUUAACUGGCACCGACAUUUCGCUGGCAUUUCAGAAGUAUUGCAUGAAAGUUACCAGCAUGUGGCGAAAAAAUAUCCUCGUUUCAAACAGAUAUAUCCUCAGCCGCCUAUUGUAGCCUUUAGACGGAAUAAGAAUAUAAGAUAAUUAUUUACCUCUAUAUCUGACUACAAGAAAACGAACAUUGGUGUAUCUGCACGCUGUACCUUAAAGAACAGCUGGAAGAGAGGUAAGCCCUGUUCAUUGUGCAACAACAUGAGUGAAGUGAAUUCCAUCAGAAAUCAUAACAGAAAUGUUAUGAUUUAUACAGAAGGGAAAUCGGAAGAG
Molecule: long non-coding RNA, 492 nt
Organism: Octopus sinensis (East Asian common octopus)
Lineage: Eukaryota; Metazoa; Mollusca; Cephalopoda; Octopoda; Octopodidae
Exons: 3
Source: RefSeq, a predicted model, not a curated record